UGGGGAAUAUUGGGCAAUGGGCGCAAGCCUGACCCAGCAACGCCGCGUGAAGGAAGAAGGCUUUCGGGUUGUAAACUUCUUUUCUCAGGGACGAAGCAAGUGACGGUACCUGAGGAAUAAGCCACGGCUAACUACGUGCCAGCAGCCGCGGUAAUACGUAGGUGGCAAGCGUUAUCCGGAUUUACUGGGUGUAAAGGGCGUGUAGGGCGGGAUCGCAAGUCAGAUGUGAAAAAGCUGGAGGCUCAACCUCCAGCCUGCAUUUGAAACUGUGGUUCUUGAGUACUGGAGAGGCAGACGGAAUUCCUAGUGUAGCGGUGAAAUGCGUAGAUAUUAGGAGGAACACCAGUGGCGAAGGCGGCUUACUGGACGGUAACUGACGUUGAGGCUCGAAAGCGUGGGGAGCAACAGAUUAGAUACC
RNAcentral lists this ribosomal RNA (418 nucleotides) under uncultured bacterium. RNAcentral describes it as "bacterial SSU rRNA". It matches the Rfam family "Bacterial small subunit ribosomal RNA", at positions 355 to 786 of the family's 1533-position model. The record is from RNAcentral.